UACAGAGGUCUCAAGCGUUGUUCGGAUUCAUUGGGCGUAAAGGGUGCGUAGGUGGCGCGGUAAGUCGGGUGUGAAAUCUCGGGGCUUAACUCCGAAACUGCAUUCGAUACUGCCGUGCUUGAGGACUGGAGAGGAGACUGGAAUUUACGGUGUAGCGGUGAAAUGCGUAGAUAUCGUAAGGAAGACCAGUGGCGAAGGCGGGUCUCUGGACAGUUCCUGACGCUGAGGCACGAAGGUCAGGGGAGCAAACGGG
This 253-nucleotide ribosomal RNA is filed under the name uncultured bacterium. RNAcentral's name for it is "partial 16S ribosomal RNA". It matches the Rfam family "Bacterial small subunit ribosomal RNA", at positions 524 to 776 of the family's 1533-position model. The record is from RNAcentral.